CCUACGGGGAGCUGCAGUGAGGAAUAUUGGUCAAUGGGCGCGAGCCUGAACCAGCCAAGUAGCGUGAAGGAUGACUGCCCUAAGGGUUGUAAACUUCUAUUAUAAAGAAAUAAAGUGAGGCAUGUGUGCCUUUUUGUAUGUACUUUAUGACAAAGGAUAGGCUAACUCCGUGCCAGCAGACGCGGUAUUACGUAGGGGGCAAGCGUUAUCCGGAUUUAUUGGGGUUAAAGGGAGCGUAGAUGGGUUGUUAAGUCAGUUUUGAAAGUUUGCGGCUCAACCGUAAAAUUGCAAUUGAUACUGGCAGUCUUGAGUACAGUUGAGGUAGGCGGAAUUCGUGGUGUAGCGGUGAAAUGCUUAGAUAUCACGAAGAACUCCGAUUGCGAAGGCAGCUUACUAAACUGCCACUGACAUUGAUGCUCGAAAGUGUGGGUAUCAAACAGGAUUAGAUACCCUUGUAGUC
This 460-nucleotide ribosomal RNA is filed under the name uncultured bacterium. Its description in RNAcentral is "partial 16S ribosomal RNA". It matches the Rfam family "Bacterial small subunit ribosomal RNA", at positions 338 to 795 of the family's 1533-position model. The record is from RNAcentral.